GUCUCCUUAGCUCAGCUGGAUAGAGCGUCGGUCUUCUAAACCGCAGGUCGCGCGUUCGAAUCGCGCAGGAGGCACCA
This 77-nucleotide transfer RNA is filed under the name Lancefieldella parvula. RNAcentral's name for it is "tRNA-Arg". It matches the Rfam family "tRNA". From Rfam's summary of the family: Transfer RNA (tRNA) molecules are approximately 80 nucleotides in length. RNAcentral also lists the same sequence under 7 other names. The record is from RNAcentral. Lineage: Bacteria; Bacillati; Actinomycetota; Coriobacteriia; Coriobacteriales; Atopobiaceae.